GGGCCCGCACAAGCGGUGGAGCAUGUGGUUUAAUUCGAUGAUACGCGAGGAACCUUACCAGGGCUUAAAUGUAGUCUGACGUACUUGGAAACAGGUAUUUCUUCGGACAGAUUACAAGGUGCUGCAUGGUUGUCGUCAGCUCGUGCCGUGAGGUGUCAGGUUAAGUCCUAUAACGAGCGCAACCCCUGUGGUUAGUUGCCAGCGAGUCAAGUCGGGAACUCUAGCCAGACUGCCGGUGCAAACCGUGAGGAAGGUGGGGAUGACGUCAAAUCAUCACGGCCCUUACGUCCUGGGCCACACACGUGCUACAAUGGUAGGGACAGAGAGCAGCCACUUUGCGAGAAGGAGCGAAUCUUCAAACCCUAUCACAGUUCGGAUCGUAGGCUGCAACUCGCCUACGUGAAGGCGGAAUCGCUAGUAAUCG
This 424-nucleotide ribosomal RNA is filed under the name uncultured bacterium. RNAcentral's name for it is "bacterial SSU rRNA". It matches the Rfam family "Bacterial small subunit ribosomal RNA", at positions 917 to 1344 of the family's 1533-position model. The record is from RNAcentral.